RNAcentral lists this ribosomal RNA (94 nucleotides) under uncultured bacterium. RNAcentral's name for it is "partial 16S ribosomal RNA". It matches the Rfam family "Bacterial small subunit ribosomal RNA", at positions 1389 to 1482 of the family's 1533-position model. The record is from RNAcentral.
ACCGCCCGUCACACCAUGGAAGUCUGCUGCACCAGAAGUAGGUAGUCUAACCGCAAGGGGGGCGCCUACCACGGUGUGGCCGAUGACUGGGGUG